RNAcentral lists this ribosomal RNA (190 nucleotides) under uncultured bacterium. RNAcentral describes it as "partial 16S ribosomal RNA". It matches the Rfam family "Bacterial small subunit ribosomal RNA", at positions 340 to 521 of the family's 1533-position model. The record is from RNAcentral.
UACGGGAGGCAGCAGUGGGGAAUAUUGGACAAUGGGCGGAAGCCUGAUCCAGCCAUGCCGCGUGUGUGAAGAAGGCCUUAUGGUUGUAAAGCACUUUAAGCGAGGAGGAGGCUACUUUAGUUAAUACCUAGAGAUAGUGGACGUUACUCGCARAAUAAGCACCGGCUAACUCUGUGCCAGCAGCCGCGGU